UACGUAGGGGGCAAGCGUUGUUCGGAUUUACUGGGCGUAAAGGGCGCGUAGGCGGCGUGACAAGUCAGUUGUGAAAUCUCUGAGCUUAACUCAGAACGGUCAACUGAUACUGUUGUGCUAGAGUGCAGAAGGGGCAACCGGAAUUCUUGGUGUAGCGGUGAAAUGCGUAGAUAUCAAGAGGAACACCUGAGGUGAAGACGGGUUGCUGGGCUGACACUGACGCUGAGGCGCGAAAGCUAGGGUAGCAAACGGG
RNAcentral lists this ribosomal RNA (253 nucleotides) under uncultured bacterium. Its description in RNAcentral is "partial 16S ribosomal RNA". It matches the Rfam family "Bacterial small subunit ribosomal RNA", at positions 524 to 776 of the family's 1533-position model. The record is from RNAcentral. RNAcentral also lists the same sequence under 1 other name.